GGGCGCAAGCCUGAUGCAGCCAUGCCGCGUGUAUGAAGAAGGCCUUCGGGUUGUAAAGCACUUUCAGUCGUGAGGAAGGUGGUGUAGUUAAUAGCGGCGAUUAUUUGACGUUAGCGACAGAAGAAGCACCGGCUAACUCCGUGCCAGCAGCCGCGGUAAUACGGAGGGUGCGAGCGUUAAUCGGAAUUACUGGGCGUAAAGCGCAUGCAGGUGGUUUGUUAAGUCAGAUGUGAAAGCCCGGGGCUCAACCUCGGAAUAGCAUUUGAAACUGGCAGACUAGAGUACUGUAGAGGGGGGUAGAAUUUCAGGUGUAGCGGUGAAAUGCGUAGAGAUCUGAAGGAAUACCGGUGGCGAAGGCGGCCCCCUGGACAGAUACUGACACUCAGAUGCGAAAGCGUGGGGAGCAAACAGGAUUAGAUACCCUGGUAGUCCACGCCGUAAACGAUGUCUACUUGGAGGUUGUGGCCUUGAGCCGUGGCUUUCGGAGCUAACGCGUUAAGUAGACCGCCUGGGGAGUACGG
Molecule: ribosomal RNA, 521 nt
Filed under: Vibrio harveyi
Lineage: Bacteria; Pseudomonadati; Pseudomonadota; Gammaproteobacteria; Vibrionales; Vibrionaceae
Description: bacterial SSU rRNA
Rfam family: Bacterial small subunit ribosomal RNA
Source: RNAcentral